UAAUAAUACAAUUGUAGUAAUAUAACUAUAAAUAUAACUAUAACUAUAAAUAAUUAAUAAUGUAGUAAUAUAACUAUAAAUAAAAAAAAUGCAUCAAAUAAAAAAAAAAGAUUAAACAAAAUAAAAUAAGCAUGCAAAUAAAAAAAAACACAUAACCGCACUUCAAAGUGCGGCCCUCAAAAUAGAAAACGCACUUCAAAGUGCGGCUGGGUCUUUCCGCACCUCGAAGUGCGGUUGCGUACCUGUGUUCUUCGCCGGAUCUCACAGUGUCUUCUUCCUCUUCCUCCUGCAGUCACAGUAUAUCUCCAAAUCUUCCAACAGCACUAUUACCACCCCGACCGAGAAUUUUAACCAUAACUCAAUCCAAUUCAAUACACAAUACAGUAAACCAGUGAAGUGCUACAGUGCAAAACGAAGAACAGGGCACCUCAGGGUUUAUAACCAACAAAUAUUUUUGUGGUUGGGAGUUAGGAAAAUAAUUGGGGUUAAAAAAAUUAAAUUCAUUAAUUACCGUUUUGACUUUUUAUUAAAUGGAGGACAAACAGGUAAAUUUAGGGGUGCAGGAUGAACUGAGUGAGGUGCAGGAAGAAUCACUCUUACUACAAAUGCAUGCAUCAUCUUUUUCUCAUUAGCAUUUUUUAGCAGAUUUUAAUCUGCAUAAAAAAUUGAAUACUUCUUUUUAAAUCCUGUAAUUAAGCCCUAAUUUGGUACAUGCUUAUCAAUUCCAUUUCCAAUCAUCAUUACUGUCCAUUGCCCUAAAAAUGUAGAUGAUUGGACAACACGUACGUGUGUGUGAAAUUAUAUAUUUGUUUUUUGUGUGUGUCGGAGCAAUGAAGUUAAAAUUAGAGAGUUUCUAGAUUGUUAUUGUUUACGGGAGUGUUCAAAAUUGAUGGUGGAUAUGUUUUUGUUGGUUUCAAUAUUUCGUGAGCAAAUAAAGCUUUCAGAGGAAGAAGGAGCAGUUAAAACUUUCAAGCCAUAGCAGCAAACCCAAGUCAAGACUACGAAAAGGAGUUUUAAAGUAUCUUGUUCGAAAGUCCACUGAAGAAAUUAAGUCCAUAUCAGAAGAGAACGAAGUUGAUAAUCAAUUGUCUGGAAAUGAUGUUCCAUCUGAUUUAAGUACAAGGGUAGAUUCAACCAUAAAUGUGAACAAAAGAAGGAGUUUUGGUCUUGGUGUUCUAUAUUUGUUUCCACUGGCAAAGAUUUUUGGAAGGUCAAAGGAUGUGGAUGCUUUAAGAAGUCAAAUUGAAGCAUUAAACAAAUCACUCCAAGAACAGAAAAUGAUAAUGAGAAAUGAGUUAGAUGAGAUUAAAGAACAAAUACAGACUUUAAAGAUCAGUGGUUCUUCUUCUGCUGCAUCUUAAGAUUUAUUCUUCUUCAUCUUCGUCACUUCAUUUCAACAAUAAAAAAGACUCUCCUGCUUCUCAUAUAUAAAAUAGGAUUGCAUUUGCUAUAUCUGAUAUACCAGAUGUCUAAUAGAAAUAAUAUGUUGCAAUAAAUGUUUAGCUUUUGUUGUGAAAAAUCAGUUAACUUACCCAA
RNAcentral lists this small RNA (1536 nucleotides) under Vigna angularis var. angularis. RNAcentral describes it as "Non-protein coding transcript". The record is from RNAcentral. Lineage: Eukaryota; Viridiplantae; Streptophyta; Magnoliopsida; Fabales; Fabaceae.